AUGGCGGCAGCCAUCGUCGGUGGCAUGGUCGCCUCGGGCGUCAUCAAGGUGGUGAUCACAGAGAUCGGCUCCGCCAUCGGGGGCAAGAUCAAGCUGCAUAAGAACCUGAAGAGAGACCUGGAGAAGAUGAAGAUGACGCUGGAGUCGGUCGAGGCUGCGCUAAGCGACGCCGAAAGGCGGUCUAUCACGGAUAGCUCGGCGCUCCUGUGGGUGAACCGGCUCAAGGAUGCCAUGUACGACAUCUCUGGCAUACUUGAUGACUUUGAAUCUGACACCAACCUGUUAGGAGCCAUGAGGAAGAAGAUUAAUAUGCCAGACAAGAUGAAAAAGAUGCAAGAGCGUCUACAGAAGAUAACAGAAGAUCAUCAGAAUUAUAGCGCUCCGCUAGAAACUCGCUACAACGAGCAACAAAUUCCCGAUACUUGGGAAAAUGCAGGGAAUAUGGAGGAAGUAGAAAUCAUCGGGAGAACUGACGAUAAACAGGAAAUUUUCACUCGUUUAUCUGGGAGCAGCACUGAAGGGACCACCUUCGUUUCCUUAUGGGGCUUUGGAGGCAUUGGAAAGACCACCUUGGCAAGAUCGGUUUAUAACGACCCUAAGUUCGAAAAACACUCUCGCGUAUGGGUCUAUGUCUCCCAGGUAUUUGACUUGAAAAAAAUUGGCAACACUAUAAUAUCAAAACUAUCAGAACAGAGCCAACAGAUACCUGACAUGGAUAGUAUUAAAAUUCGCCUUCAAAAGCUACUUGCUGAGAAGAAGAAUAUUCUGAUCAUUUUGGAUGACCUGUGGGAGAAGCAUCCUCCUCAACUAGAAUAUUUAAAGUCUAUGCUGAAGCAGGGUGAUGGGUGCAAGGUGAUGGUUGUAGUUACCACACGUGAUGAAGGCAUUGCAAGUGAAAUUGGUACUGUUGAGCCAUACAACUUACCUCAACUGUCAGAUGAGAUGUGUUGGGAAAUAAUAAGACAGAAAAGUAACUUUGAAACAAGGCAUGACAAAGAACGGUUGGAGCCGAUUGGUAAGGAUAUUGCCAACAAGUGCAAAGGUGUAGCUUUAGCUGCCCAAUCACUUGGAUGCAUGUUGAAGUCCAAGUUGUAUGGAGAAUGGAAUUCGGUCAGAACCAAUCAUUUCUGGAAUCUAUCUACUUCCAUAGAUGCAUCAUCCAGACAUGAAGUGCUUGGGUCCUUGCUAUUAAGCUACAACCUCAUGCCUCCAUGCUUGAAGUUAUGCUUUGCUUAUUGUGCAAUCUUUCAAAAAGGUCACAAUUUGAUGAAGUAUGAGUUAAUUAACCAAUGGGUUGCUCUUGGAUUCGUGGAGCCAUCUUGUACCUUCUCUAACUGGCAAGUUGGUGAGAGUUACAUUAUGCAGCUUAUGGCGAUGUCAUUUCUUCAACAUUCAAAGGCUGACAACGAUAUAAACAUAACACUAUUCACCAUGCAUGACCUAGUGCAUGACCUCGCAAGAUCGGUCAUGGCUGAAGAAUUCAACUUGGCAGGCCCCAACUGCCGCUAUGCACAGCUCACAGAUUGUAAGAAGCCAUUAACGUCAUCCUCGACUUCACCUGAAAAGCUAAGGGCACUGCAUGUUAUGGACAAUGACUCACUGCCAUAUCAGUUCCACCGUGAUGCAUAUUCACCAGCUAAGUACCUUCGUGUAUUAGAUUUAGGCAGACUCUAUUUGAACGAGUUACCAGAUUCUGUUGGUCAACUGAAGCAGUUGAGGUAUCUUAGUGCUCCCAAAAUCCGAGAUGGAACGAAUCUCAAGUGGAUCGGUAUGCUCCGAGAAUUGAAUUAUCUCGACCUCCGCGAGUCUUAUUCUAUCUCAGUAUUGCCAGAGUCAAUUGGUGAAAUGAAAGGUCUGAUGUAUGUUGACUUAUCACGUUGUUGGGGUCUGAAGGAACUCCCACAUUCAUUUGCCAAGCUCAAGGAGUUGGUAUAUCUGAACUUAUCAUCCAAUUAUUAUGUUUUAGGAAUACCAGAAGCUUUGGCUCACCUUACCAAACUCCAGUAUUUGGUAUUAUCAGAAUGUGGAAAACUCAGAGGGCUGCCAGAGGUCAUCGGCGGCCUCACUGAACUCCGCUAUCUGAACCUAUCAGGGUGUAUCCAUUCUAUCUUCGACAGCUCAUCAACAAAUCAAACCGAGAGUUUCAUCGACCGUAUUUGUACCAUUCCCAGUAUGGAGCAUCUGGACUUGUCUCAUAAUGGCUAUCCUCUGAUUAGUAUACCAGAAAGUGCUAGCUGCCUCAGGAAGCUGGUCCUUGACAGAUGCAGGCAAGUUACUAAGCUUCCAGAAUGUCUGGCUAAAAUGGACCCUCAAAGCCUUUUUGGAUUGUUGCCAGCAUUUUCUGUAAGUGCAGAUGAUGCUGGAUGUAACACCAACCUUGGCAUUCUUGAGUAUAUAAAUCCCGAUGAACUUAGCAUCACGGAACUUGAAAAUGUGAAGUCUCAAGAAGAAACACGCAAUAUAAAACUGAGUGAAAAACAGAGAAUUGUACAACUGACAUUAAAGUGGAACCCACGAGCUAAGAGAUAUGUGGAUGACAUGGAGUUGCUAAGGGAGCUUGUGCCACCAACCUCUUUAGAGGAGUUUGCAAUAUAUGGUUAUAUUAGUGCCGACCUUCCAGACUGGGUAAUGAGUAUUGGCAAUUAUCUCCCUAAUGUUGUCCGAAUGGUGAUGUUCCAUUUGCCAAACUGUAACAGUCUUCCACCCAUCUCACAACUACCAAACCUCCGAGUGCUUACUCUGGAAUACAUGGAAAGCCUGGAAGAAUGGAACACAACCUACUCUAGUGGCGAGGAUAAUGUGAAUGAGCUCAUGUUUUGUAACCUUGAGGAAGUGAAUAUACAUGAUUGCCCCAAGUUGAUGAUAAAGCCACACCUUCCUAGAGCUGCAUCUUGGAGUAUAAGGGGAAGUGAUAAUGUGCUCAUAUCAUGGGCAGAUAGCAUGCCACACAAUGGUGCUUCCUCAUCUUCUUCUCCGCUAGGAGCAACUACUAAUCUGAAAGUUGAAUGGAGCAAGGUGCCUCUACAUCAGUGGAGAUUGCUUCACCAUCUACCUGGCCUGAGUGAUCUUCACAUCAAUGCUUGCAAUAAUUUGACAAGCUCACCAAAGAUCACCCUGGCUCUACAGUCCCUCAAAUCGCUGACACUGCAGUCUUCGGACCAAUCAAUACUGUUGGAAUUAGUAGGCGAGUUGACAUCUCUUCAGCAACUAGCGAUAAACAGAUUGACGUAUCUAAAGGAGUUUCCCGAUAACAUGAGGCAACUCAAGCAGCUACAAUCAUUGACACUGAAUCAUUGUACAUUGAGACAGCUGCCGCUAUGGUUAGGAGAACUUGCCUCUCUCAAGAAACUUGUAAUUUCAAAUUGCUCUGGUCUCAUGACUUUGCCAAAUAGCAUAGGACAACUGGUAGGUCUCCAAGAAUUGGCAAUAGCCUACUGCCAUCAUGACUUAGCGCAGUGGUGUGAAGCAGAGGAGAACAAUACGAAGCUUGCUCACAUAGAAGAAAAGAGUAUCCAUAUUGAUCCUUGUUAUGCCCCAAGGGCUGCAAUUCACUCCAGCCGCCGUUCUUCCCCACUCCGGUGGCCCUUGUUGCGAAAAAAGAUAAAAAAGUGA
This 3612-nucleotide ribosomal RNA is filed under the name Triticum aestivum (bread wheat). Its description in RNAcentral is "partial small subunit ribosomal RNA". The record is from RNAcentral. Lineage: Eukaryota; Viridiplantae; Streptophyta; Magnoliopsida; Poales; Poaceae.